CGCCAUUAUAGGAUUCGCACCACGGUUUCAUUUUCGCGCAAACUUUGUUCUAUAAAAAGCCUUCCCCCAUUCGUUCUUUCCUUUUCUCUGAUGGAAGUCUUUGGGACUCCGUAUAGUUUCAAUGAUGCUUCUGUAAUGCUCACUCUCAAGAAAAGUUUAAACGCGCUGAGUAAGCUCAGGUGGACGAACUCAGACCAAUGUCAAUGAGACAACGUUGGGUGCUUGCCCGAUAAGUAGGUCACUUGGAUUCAGAUCGGACGGUAAGGACUGACGGGGACUCUAUCGGCGAACAUCGGCAACCUUACUGCAUUGCAACGAUUUGAGAUCAUGUUCAACGAACUCAGUGGGGAUCUACCGAGUAUGGCCGGGUUGGAUCAAUUACAGAUUCUCUUUCUUAGAAACAAUAAUUUUUUGUUGAUUCCCUCAGAUUUCUUCUUUGGGAUGUCGCCGUUGUAAGCCGUAAGUCUCAACUACAAUCCCUUCUUGUCGUGGGUGAUUCUGGAUAGCCUUAAAAGUGCUGUGGUGGUUCAAAAUUUCUCGACGAAUUCGGUGAACAUAAUUAGCAGAAUCCUAGAAUUUUUUGGGAGUGACACUUUCAUGGGUAUGAUUAAUUUUUAUUUAGAUUUUAAUAGUCUCGAAGGUGAAUUGCCUGGAAACUUUUUGACUUCAUUAAUUAUGUCCCUAUGGUUGAAUGGGAGGAAGAGUAUAUCUAAACUCAAUGGCAUGAUUCAAUUGUUACAAG
Malania oleifera is the source of this 742-nucleotide long non-coding RNA. RefSeq lists it as uncharacterized. The transcript is spliced from 2 exons. The record is from RefSeq and is a predicted model, not a curated record. Lineage: Eukaryota; Viridiplantae; Streptophyta; Magnoliopsida; Santalales; Ximeniaceae.